UAAGUACUUCUGUCCAAAGCGUUUAAGAGCGCCUCAUAACUGCGUGUAAAAGUGCUUCAUAAUUCUGACUCAGAAACGUGUUGCGGUGAGAUUCGACUGGUGUGCUGCUUCUCCGUAGUGAGCUCUCUCGAAAGGCAAGAGCAAGAAAACUGGGCACAUAUUCCCCAUCCAGGCAGAGUGCCAAACUCUUCCAAGCACCCUACCUGCCUUCUAUCUUAAGUUUCCUGAAUAAGUGAGAAAACACGAUCCAGUUGCAGCUGUAGCCUACAUGUCAUCUCUCUGGUCGAGUCCGAGCUUUAAUCAAACAAACAGACCAAAAAAAUCCCGUCGGAGCUGAAAACUUAAAGGCAGCAGAUGACGCAAAACGCAACAGUAUUCAUUCACUCUUGGGGCCUCGGACUAACGGCUGCUUCGCAAGUCCCCUCAAGACAUACUACAUGUUCCAGUGCGUCUUUAGAGAGAGAAAAGAGGGAAAAUGAAAAGCCAAGGGACAAGAUUUAGGCUUUCUGGGAGUGCAUUUCAUUUUGGCAUUAUGCGUGUUUUUUUUUUUCUUUCCAAGCCUCCCCGGGCAGACGGACCAGCGAGACGUGUGACAAUCAGGGUGUGAUGUGACACUUCUCCCAGCCUUUCAUUCUCCUGCGUUUUUCCCACUAAUAUUUAAGCUUACCUAAGAAGGCUUUAAAAUGAAGUUUAGUUCUUUGAAGACCAAAGCAUUCCAAUUUUUUCCAACAGACCAGUUCACAGCUAGCUGUGCACUGCCAGUGGGGUAGCCCGAAUUCCAAAAUCUAUCAUCUGGAAACACACAAAAGCACCCUCCGUCAGAUAUUUCCUUUCAAAGCCAGUUUAAAAAAAAGAGAGAAAAAAGGAGACAGGGUGGAGGGAGAAAAAGAGAGAGAGAGAAAAACUCAUAGGAGAAAUGUGUAAUUCCCUGUCCCCUCUCUUUCACACACUGGGGACUGAGGAUCAAAAUAACCCAGCAUUUCUUGAAGAAGAAGAAGAAAGAAGAGGAAAAAAGCACCAAGUCUUCAAUAAGAGCUGCAUUUGCCCAUACUUCAGUGGCCAGAUAGUGAGAAGAAAAAAGCCUGAGAUUGAAGAGAAAGUGAUCAUGGGACAAGGAGAGCUGUGGUGAAAAAAGGGCGGCGAGUGGACAAGUUUCAAUUAAUUUUCUUCAAAAGAGAGCCAGAUUAAAUGUUUCCGGCCUGGUGAAGUGCUCAUUUCAACUGAAGGGGGAAGGGGAAUAUAAGCGCGCACGAGAGAGAGAGAGAGAGAGAGAGAGAGAGACAGAGAGAGAGAUAAAGGGAAAAGCAGAGAGUCGGACCUUUUCAGAAGCUGGUGCAUACCCAAUGGUGUGGUGGCUAAAGAAUGCACGCAGCUCCGAAUUUGCAGGAGGAUUGUCAUCAGACAAAGGGGACGGAGUUACGCCUGUUAUAGUCCAAUAAGCCUUGUCAGUCAAACAAGUCAAGAGAAAGGAAAGAGAAAGGGAGAGCAAAAGAUUUUCACACAAAGGGAAACAAGUAAGUCCGUCUUUUAGCAACAAAUCAGUGUGGAGGUUCCUCUGCUAAGCUAGGUGGAGAAAAGAAGAGGAAGAUAAACAGUAGAGGGAUUUGAGGCCUGACGGCAGAGGACAGGAGGAGGAGGAGGAGGAGGAGGAGGAGAGCCAUAAUCAGGUUGGAGUACUCCAAGCCCCUGAAGAGCAGUUAGCAAGUUUCUAAUCACACAUAGAAACACAAGAAACAUAGAAAAGAGGAGAGAGAGACAGAUUUAGAAGCAUUUUAUUUCCAUAGUAUAAAUGGUGAAUGAACGAUGCACAUACCACUUAUACAAAAAAAUAGCAUCAAGAUACCUCAAGACAUUUUCACGAAACACAUAUUUAGAUUUUAGAAAAUCAACAAGUUUGAGCACAUUUAUUUUUUAUCCAAUCUGUCACAUACUGCACUAAAUUUAAUUAAACAGAACAGCUUAUGCUCUUUUUGUAUUGAAACAUGCAGCUGGCCAGCGUUCUUUAAGUACUAAGAAAAAAACACUACAUAUUUAGGGAAGCGUCUUGUGACACAAUGUGGCAUAAAUCAUGAUACAAUAUAUUACAUCAUAUCAUCGAUGCCUAUAUUGUCGUUUUAUUUAUUUAUUUACAUUUAUGCAUUUGGCAGAUGCCCUUAUACAGAGCUACUUACAGUUUAACCAUGUUACAGAGGUAGGUCAACUGUAGUGUUAGGAGACUUGCCCAAGAUUAACUUAGCAUGAUGUGCUUGCCCAGGCAGAGAAUCAAAGCCCAGUCAGCCACAUGGAGUGAUAACCAUUAGGUCAUACUGCUUUCUUUGACUAUUUUGUUUUUUAAAGCAUCUAAUUCACUUGUAUGUAUUGUUCUGUUGUUUACCCAAGAAUUCAUUAAGAGAACAUGACUUAUUAUUUUUCUUUCUUGUAUACAAAACAACAAGUUUAAUAUGGCCAAGUAGGAUAUUGUCAAGUGCCCCAAAAUGUUCAGAAACAGCCCUGUUAACCAUGUUAGAACAACAUGCUAGGCUAAGAAGUACAGUCAGUGACGCUCAUUUACAAGAACUGCAGCCAUUUCCAAACAGUUUGAAAAUGAAUUAAACAUAUCUUCUGAGACAAUAUGUUGAACACAUCUAAAACUUGCAUUGCUGUAAAUGUUAAACUGCUCUAGUCUGAAUUGUUUAUUUUUAGCAGUGGAUAAUAAUGAGGUACUGAGGGCAGUCAGUAAGUACACCUGUGUAGAGAUAUAGAGGGUAGGAGGAAGAGAGAAAGAGAGACACUCCUUUAAUGUCUUUCUGUCUUUCUCUCUCUCGUCACUUUCAAAGCAGCAGGCCCAUGUCAGGUCAGUGCUACAUGACGUCCUGCACCACUCGCAAUCUCCCGCACCCUGCUGAGGCUAUGAGCUGGGCUCUGGGCAGGCAUGUGCAGAGGAUACGUCUACACAUCCGCACAGAACAAAAUGCUUCUCUCUCCCUCUCUCAGAUUCAGACUGACUGCUCUCUCUCUCUCUCUCUCUCUCUCUCUCUCUCUCUCUCACACACACACACUCACACACACACACACUGUGAACUUAUUACUAUUGUUGAUUGGUAAGCAAUGCUUAAUAUAAGUCAGUAAAGGACUGUUUAAUUAAAACUAUUGGAGUUUGUUUAACGGAACCACCAUCUAUUUUUCACUUUCAAAAUGUAUACAUUAUUAAACUGUUAAUAUGUAAAAUACGUUGUUUAGAGUCGUCUGAUGAGAAAUGGUGCUUUGUAGAGAAACUCACCAAGUCAGAAUUGUUCACAGUGGCGAUGACGGAAGCUGGAAGUCAAAAGUGUUUAAUGCCUCUUAAAGCUACAUCAGACAAAGUAAUUACAUCAAAGGUUAUAAAUAUGCUGCUUGAUACCCAAGAUGACAUACGG
Molecule: long non-coding RNA, 3395 nt
Organism: Pygocentrus nattereri (red-bellied piranha)
Lineage: Eukaryota; Metazoa; Chordata; Actinopteri; Characiformes; Serrasalmidae
Exons: 3
Source: RefSeq, a predicted model, not a curated record